UGGGGAAUUUUGGACAAUGGGCGAAAGCCUGAUCCAGCAAUGCCGCGUGUGUGAAGAAGGCCUUCGGGUUGUAAAGCACUUUUGUCCGGAAAGAAAUCCUUGGCUCUAAUACAGUCGGGGGAUGACGGUACCGGAAGAAUAAGCACCGGCUAACUACGUGCCAGCAGCCGCGGUAAUACGUAGGGUGCAAGCGUUAAUCGGAAUUACUGGGCGUAAAGCGUGCGCAGGCGGUUUGCUAAGACCGACGUGAAAUCCCCGGGCUCAACCUGGGAACUGCAUUGGUGACUGGCAGGCUAGAGUAUGGCAGAGGGGGGUAGAAUUCCACGUGUAGCAGUGAAAUGCGUAGAGAUGUGGAGGAAUACCGAUGGCGAAGGCAGCCCCCUGGGCCAAUACUGACGCUCAUGCACGAAAGCGUGGGGAGCAAACAGGAUUAGAUACCCUGGUAGUCCACGCCCUAAACGAUGUCAACUAGUUGUUGGGGAUUCAUUUCCUUAGUAACGUAGCUAACGCGUGAAGUUGACCGCCUGGGGAGUACGGUCGC
This 541-nucleotide ribosomal RNA is filed under the name uncultured bacterium. Its description in RNAcentral is "partial 16S ribosomal RNA". It matches the Rfam family "Bacterial small subunit ribosomal RNA", at positions 355 to 889 of the family's 1533-position model. The record is from RNAcentral.